Molecule: ribosomal RNA, 460 nt
Filed under: uncultured bacterium
Lineage: Bacteria
Description: partial 16S ribosomal RNA
Rfam family: Bacterial small subunit ribosomal RNA
Source: RNAcentral
CCUACGGGUGGCAGCAGUGAGGAAUAUUGGUCAAUGGACGAGAGUCUGAACCAGCCAAGUAGCGUGAAGGAUGACUGCCCUAUGGGUUGUAAACUUCUUUUAUAUGGGAAUAAAAUGUUCCACGUGUGGGAUUUUGUAUGUACCAUAUGAAUAAGGAUCGGCUAACUCCGUGCCAGCAGCCGCGGUAAUACGGAGGAUCCGAGCGUUAUCCGGAUUUAUUGGGUUUAAAGGGAGCGUAGGUGGAUUGUUAAGUCAGUUGUGAAAGUUUGCGGCUCAACCGUAAAAUUGCAGUUGAAACUGGCAGUCUUGAGUACAGUAGAGGUGGGCGGAAUUCGUGGUGUAGCGGUGAAAUGCUUAGAUAUCAUGAAGAACUCCGAUUGCGAAGGCAGUUCACUGGACUGCAACUGACACUGAGGCUCGAAAGUGUGGGUAUCAAACAGGAUUAGAUACCCUAGUAGUC